UUCAUCUUCUUCUCACACUUCUUUCUCUCAUCACAGAGGUGUUGGACAUUGACAACCCAUCAUCUCUUCCAGCCCUUGCUCUGGGCAGCUGUCCUGAGGGAGCAGCAGCGUGUCACAGCAAGUGUCUUCAGCAUUGCAUAUGCACCUUUGGAUGGACGAGACUCCAUUGUCUUGUUGUUAUUUUAUUGUUGAAGGAGACUUACACCACUCUUCUGCCUAAGGACCAGCUGAAUGAGUUUGAGUUCCCAGAUAAAUCUUGGAUUCUAACCUACAAGGACCAGGCAUCAGCAAUGAAAACACCACUGCUGCUGAUAAUAUAUAGAGGUCAAGUAUAUAAAUGGAUCUUUGCAUCUGGGUUGUUGCAUAUGCUACAUCUGAUGUGCUGUCUCCUCAGAGAAGAGAAAAAAUAAUCAGACAUCACAAAACAGAGUCCUCAGCCCUUCUGAUUACAUGCCAAGGGACUCACUUCAUUUAACUAAUUAUUUUAUUACAGUUUUCUUUAGACACAAGAUAUGAAAAAUUCAUAUAAAAAACUUGAAAAUAUAGAGUUGUGCAAAUCUGUUCUGCCAAACUUUAUCUCUGACCCAGGAAAAUAGACAAUAAAAAAAAAAAAAGAGAAAAAAAAACAGGGGAUAAUACUAUGC
Long non-coding RNA from Passer domesticus (house sparrow), 644 nucleotides. RefSeq lists it as uncharacterized. The transcript has 2 exons. NCBI's taxonomy places the organism in Eukaryota, Metazoa, Chordata, Aves, Passeriformes, Passeridae. The record is from RefSeq and is a predicted model, not a curated record.